GAGGAACAGUUGACUUGAAGAAGCAAACCUUCAGAAGUGUUUUGGUUCAUGUGAAGUUUCUUCAGUAGCACGAGCAGCUAAUGAAUUGGUGAAAACAAUCUUUGGAGAUCCUAUCAAAGAUCAGAUCCCUACUUUCAAGGCAUAAUGAUGAGCAGCCACUGAAUAUUACAGGACAACUUAUUCUCCGUGGCCAAAAUGGCUACUUUCAGUCGGGUCAGGUUAGUUACAGAUUCUUUGAGAGUUUGAAGCAAGCUGGUACAUGUCCUCCCCUUGGAACCUAAUCUUAGACACACCACAACGAAUCACUAGACUCUUCUUUGCUCCUUGGGUAUAAUAAGCUAUGGUAAGUCUAUGGAAUGGGAAGCCAAGAAAAAAAGAUACUGAAAGAAUUCUACAGAAAAUGUGCGCUCGUUUAUAUGGUUCUAGUGGUGCUAGAAUAGGUCAAGGACAGAGUUACCUAUGUUGCGCAUCACACCCCAUUCCAGGCUGCAGAAGGUUUUUGCUAUAUAUAUAUGGGGGUUUCAUUGGCAAGAUCGUACAUAGAAGUUUCUGGGAAGACAGAAUAUUUUCAUGAGCUAGUCACAGAGCCAGCUCAACCUUUGGAGGUUCUGUCAGAAGACUUACCAGUUCGCUGUGUUAUGGUCUGAUAGAACCAAAGGUGUAUAUUGAUAGAACCGCCCAACCUCCCAUUCUUGAUCUCCACAAACCAGAGACUCAAGCCAAUACGAUCUUGCUCAUCAAGAGAAGCAAGCUCAAGACUCACCAACUAACCCCCUCACAUAUUCCUCUUAGGUCCUCUUAUAUAGUGCGAGGCCCAAUAACAACUGUAACAAACUCUAUACCACACGUGUAACCUUUUAUUAAACUCAUAACAACUCCUCUCCUCUCUCUA
This is a long non-coding RNA of Brassica napus (rape), 892 nucleotides long. RefSeq lists it as uncharacterized. The transcript is spliced from 2 exons. The record is from RefSeq and is a predicted model, not a curated record. Lineage: Eukaryota; Viridiplantae; Streptophyta; Magnoliopsida; Brassicales; Brassicaceae.